UAGAUGAGGAGAGAAAAUGAAAGGAAUGAGAAAUGAAUACGGAGAUUCACCAGCAGUUUUUGCCAGUAACAGAUUACAGGUCUUCUUGGAAAUCAAAUCGGCAGCUUGUGACAUAAGAAUAAUUUCUUUGUUACAUAAAAAAUAGCAGCUUAGGGGGAAAGAGAGAUGAAGAAAGCCAAAGGGAUACCCUGAAACCACUCAUCUUGUUUUUAUUCCAUGAGUAAAGGUUUCUCUUUAGAUUCUGAUGGUUGUGUCACCUGCAGGCCUACUGGUCAUGGUGGUUUUUCCUGAAUUCACUUAUCUGUCAUUUUUCUGAGAAUGACACCCAGGAGAAAACUUUCCAAACAGAACUUCUUUGUUAGGCCGUAACCUAAGAUAAAUGGUCAGCCAGACAAUAUUCAAGUUUUUUAUACCAUUUUUAAAAAUAUUUCAGAUGAAAUCACCAAGGUGUUAAAAUGUGAAAACGUAUCAAAAUUGACAUUAAAGGCUUCCACAAAUUGUGUUAAACCUGACUUAAUGGUUCACUUUUUUUAAAGUGCUUUAAAGCACCCAAAUGUUCAUAAUGUGGAGGAUUUAUCUGUAUAUUACAACGUCUCAUAGUGUGUUAACCCUCUUUUAUGGAAACAGGUGCAGUAUUACAACCUGAUGGUUUGACUUUUUCGAAAGGUUUAUCUUGACCUAAAUCAUGCUCUACUCACUCUAACUUAGAGAUACGUGAUCAAAAAUUCUUCAACAAAAAAGGCUUUUGAGGGAAUUAAUGGUCCUGAAAGUCCUUUUCUGAAAACAGAGGGUAAGACAAGGCGGCUCACAAAUCCUCUAAAAUGUCCAAACCGGUGAACUAGUUUAAUAUUUUUUAUACUAAAAUACACAGUGUUGCAAUGUAUAAAAUGUGUAAACAUUUCCAAACUAAAAAUUAUUUACCAUGCAGUCAUUAAUCUAACUGCAUGUUAGUAAAAUUAUUAGCACCACCAGUCAUGGUCUCACUUGCAGAUUUCUGUAAAGAACAAAUAUUCUCUAACAUGAUACUUUAUUUUUAUCUCUUGACUGAAUCUACAAUAAAAUCUGUUACGAGGUUCAAAUCCUGAAACAUUUUCAGGCUGUGCUCCUACUAUUAAAAGAUAUUUGCAUUUAGGCUUAAUGUAAAGCUUUACAGGAAGAACCAGCUAAUGUUGUCUUUCAGUUCUCCUAAUUUGUACUGGGAACUUACUUCACUUUGCUCGCAUCUGCGUCGUAGAAAUGUCGACGUCACCUCCUCAAGUGAUUCCAAGAAAGCCUUCUGGGGUCAAAGUACUGACUCCACUUCGAGAGCAACAUCGUCACAAUGGGCUGCCCAUCAUCACAGACGCUGAGAGAGAGAACGGCACGAGCGGGAAGUCAAGAAAAGAAAAGCUGAUGACUGCAGAAAGAGAAGUUGAAAUCUUGAAUCACUGUUUUGAUGACAUCGAGAGGUUCAUGGCUCGCUUGCAACAAACCGCGGAGGCCCGGAGCAUUCUCAACCAACGGACCAAAAGGAGUGCCAAGAAAAACACCAAACAUGACAAACAAGACUUGCUGAACAAGAAAGCGACCCCUCCGUCAGAGCAGGAAUUUGUGGACAUCUUUCAGAAAAUAAAGUACUCCUUCUGUUUAUUGGAUCGCUUGAAGUCAUCCAUCUCACAACCAGAUGCACCAGAUCUGCUCCACCACGUCUUUUUACCUCUGAACUUGAUGGUGAAGACCACCGAGGGGCCGACAUUAGCUGCAUCUGUGAAGAGUCCAUGUAUGACCAAAGGUGCUGUUUCUCUGCUCCAAGAGCACCUGACUGGAGAGGAAAAGGAGCUGUGGAAAUCACUGGGACCCAACUGGACCUCAGAAUCUUCGCAGCAGACCGUUUCUGCUCCUCCAUAUUCGCCCGUCUUCCUAGAUGGGUGGCAGCCUCAGGCUUACGACUCAGCUGGUCGGCUGCUGGAAGAUCCCAUCCAGUUGCAGCACAAAGAGGACGCUUUUAAUAUAAGCGUGCAGAAGCAAAGUCAACGAGAACAUGUCCAACCUGCACCCAAGAACUACGGAGAAGGGACCGAAAAAGCAAAUAAAAAUGGGAUCCCACCAAAUGGCGAGAGAAUGUAUCACUGUAAUUACGACUUUGUGGCCAGAAACAAUGAUGAACUCUCAGUACUACAUGGGGAAAAACUAGAGGUCCUUGAAUUAUCAUCGGACCGCUUUUGGAAGUGCCGGAAUAGUUAUGACGAGAUAGGACUUGUUCCAUGUAAUAUUCUGGAGCCUCUGUCUGCACUGAACAACACAGAGAAAAUCCAUCCGGUGCUUCGAACAGAGUCGAAGAAAACAGCUCUCACCCAUCGGUGUUUCUCGUACGUCCCGUCGAGCGGCGACGGGUUCAGGUCGACCGCGACCAGCCGAGCAGAGCGACAUCAGAGCAUGAAUCUGCCAUCCAACAUGACAAGAGAAGAUGGCGGCCGAGUCAUGUUUAUGAACAAUGAGCUUCUGCAGCGGCUGGCUAAAAAAAGGAACUCGCUUGAAGAGAUGGAGGUUUCCUCCACAGCUGGCACCUCCAUCCCCCUGAACUACGACUCCCAAAGAGCUGAGGUGAAGGCCUGGCUCUCUGCGAAGGGCUUCAGUCGGGGUGGAGACGCUGGGAGUUUUGAAUGGAGCCCAGCUCUUCUCCUUGAAGAAUGAGGAGCUCUGCAGUGUGUGUCCGCUGGAAGGAGAGCGCAUUUACCUGCAGGUGCUGGGACAAAAGUCCCUUCUCGAGGACGUGCGCAAAGUUUCUGAACUAGAGACGGUGGUGGAGAUGUGAAAUCUGAUGACUGACCUGGAUUGGUAAACAUCACGAUACAAGAGAAGAAAUCAAUAGUGACUUAAAGGGAUACGAGACCAAUCUGUUGUACA
RNA transcript from Gambusia affinis (western mosquitofish), 2886 nucleotides. It is a transcript of the gene named eps8 like 1a, with no coding region annotated. The record is from RefSeq and is a predicted model, not a curated record. NCBI's taxonomy places the organism in Eukaryota, Metazoa, Chordata, Actinopteri, Cyprinodontiformes, Poeciliidae. The transcript is spliced from 13 exons.